Molecule: small nuclear RNA, 130 nt
Filed under: Myotis lucifugus (little brown bat)
Lineage: Eukaryota; Metazoa; Chordata; Mammalia; Chiroptera; Vespertilionidae
Description: U2 spliceosomal RNA
Rfam family: U2 spliceosomal RNA
About the family: U2 is a small nuclear RNA (snRNA) component of the spliceosome (involved in pre-mRNA splicing).
Source: Rfam by way of RNAcentral
AUCGCUUCUCGGCCUUUUGGCUAAGAUCAAGUGAAGAAUGUGCAAACUUCCAGAAAUUUAUAGACUAAAGUAGAGUAGAUAUGAGAUCUAUCCCAAUAACUACACUCUAGGUGAAAAUUAUUGACUACUA